GGCUGCAACUCGCCUACAUGAAGUCGGAAUCGCUAGUAAUCGCGGAUCAGCAUGCCGCGGUGAAUACGUUCCCGGGCCUUGUACACACCGCCCGUCACACCAUGAGAGUUUGUAACACCCAAAGCCGGUGGGGUAACCUUUUGGAGCCAGCCGUCUAAGGCGGGACAGAUGAUUGGGGUGAAGUCGUAACAAGGUAUC
Molecule: ribosomal RNA, 198 nt
Filed under: uncultured bacterium
Lineage: Bacteria
Description: partial 16S ribosomal RNA
Rfam family: Bacterial small subunit ribosomal RNA
Source: RNAcentral